This is a long non-coding RNA of Brassica napus (rape), 795 nucleotides long. RefSeq lists it as uncharacterized. The transcript has 5 exons. The record is from RefSeq and is a predicted model, not a curated record. NCBI's taxonomy places the organism in Eukaryota, Viridiplantae, Streptophyta, Magnoliopsida, Brassicales, Brassicaceae.
CUUUGUUUCCAUCGACAAACGACGACGACCAAAACAAAAAAAAAAAUUCUCAGCACCUCAAUCUGAUUCUCACCGACGAACCUCGAGAUCGUGAUGGCUCCCGCCGUUUCUCCGACGGAUCUGUGUAGCUCGUACGCCGCUACAGCCUCACCACUCUUUCUUGCUUCGAUUCCUUGACGGUAGUCAAAAAAAAAUUCCCCAAAUCUUUAGCUCGAUUUUCAGCAAACUCCCAUCAUCUAAGCAUCACCCGCUAGAACUUCAGUGAUCAAACACAUCACGUAUACUCCUUAGAACGUAACCGGCGACUCUCUAGAGCUUCAUCCGUUCUAUCAAUAAACCUGUCUCCCUUCAGCUUCUCUAUACUCGUCUCCCUUCAGCUGCCACAGCCGUUUAAGACGUUCUCUCAGCUUCUCCACCUUGAGCUAAGUACCAUGUGCCUCGCUUCCACAACGUCCCUGCAGGUAACCUUUUGCUUCUCCUAAGCCUUCCCAUUAUCGCUUUAAGAAAUAAUCCGGAGUUAUUAACUCAUUAUUUCUUCCUUUUGCGAGACAUCUUCGAUAACGGAGUUACCUGCGAUGUUCUUCGGUUUUUACUCGUUGAUGUUGAGGAGAUCACAGCAGAGAUCAAACUUAGGCCCGGGUUACUUGUUGUGCUGGAAUGGGCUUGAAGUGUUAAAGUUGAGGCCCACUUUACAUUCCAAACUCUUUGUUUCUGUUUGAUGGGUGAGAUUGAUGUAUUAUGAACAUAUCAUGUGAAAUUCUGUGUAUUGAUGUCCAAAAAGAGACCAAAAAAUCA